Molecule: long non-coding RNA, 2002 nt
Organism: Apis florea (little honeybee)
Lineage: Eukaryota; Metazoa; Arthropoda; Insecta; Hymenoptera; Apidae
Source: RefSeq, a predicted model, not a curated record
GUAUGAUCGAGGGUAGGGGAAAUAUGCAUCUUGGAGCGCGAUGAACAAAAUUUAAGGUAGUCUGUGAGCAGGCGAGUGACUAUGCGCUUGCGUGGCCCUCGGAGAGUUCUCUUCCUUUUUUAAUUUUCCUUUUUUCCUCUCGUCUGUUUUUGUUCACAUUUUCCUUUCCUCUCGUUUCUCUUUUCUUCAUCUUUUUCUUCAGAACAUCGAUUCAAUCUCCGAGGGUCUACAAUCUUCCCUGCUUUCCUUUCAUCCGAUUCGACAUGUUAAAUUGAAAUCACCGAGAGCAAUUGUUGAGCCAGGCCAAAUUUGGAACUGAUAAUACGAACCUACCUAAAUUGGAUCAAGAAAUACACCGAAGAUUCUUAAGUGAAAUCAAAAUGAAAUUCAUCGAACUGGCAAAAUAUUGAAGAAUAUUCUGAUAAUAAUAGCUGAUAAUAAUCACUGUAAACAAACAUCAAUUGAUUCGAAAUGAUAUGAUGACACUAUUCACUGAUAAAAUACGGCUGAAACAUUGUUUGACGGAUCGUCAAUAAUGUCGAAAUUGGAAAAGGGAAAGCAAAAAUCCUCUUUUAUCGAGGAUUUGUAAAUAUAUUUAUUUGUAUAUACAAACACGUAUACGUAAUCUGUAUAAAGAGAGAGAUGUAGAGUACUGAUAUUAAAAGUACAACGCUACUCAACAUGCUCGGUGAAUGAGAAUUUCUUUCGAAAUUGGCCAGUAGUCGGCGUUGCAGAUCACAUGUACUACUAAUGUAUUCAAGAAACAAUUAUACACAGCCAAUAACUUCUACAAAUUCUUUAUUUUCAUAAAAAAGCAAAGAUAUUUUGGGAGAUAUAUUACACAACAGAAGACAUAUUAAAUAAUCAACAAGUUUCAUAGCAGUUUCAUGUAUGUAUAAUUUAUUACAAUAGAUCUGUUUCUGUUCAUACUACCUUCUUAAUGGGAUGAAGAUCAUUGAAAACUGUAUUAUAAUCUUCGACUCUGACAUUUUAUUGGUAUUAAUCUUUUAUUCAAUUAAAUAAUGCAAAACUUUAAAAAUGUGACCAUUCUGCGAUGAAUGAUUAUUGGCAUUAAUGUAAAUAUAUUUCUAUGUAAGUGAAUGUUAAUUCUAAUAUUUAUUCAUAAUAAUUUAUAAAUAGUUAUAAGUUUUUAUAAGUAUUUUAUUUUAAGAUUUUAGAAAUUAGAGUUUUAGAAAUUAAAUUGAAAUAAUAAUAAAAUAUUUUUCUAAGAAAUUUAUAGAAUUUUCGAAGAUUUCAAAACGCCGAGCAGUAAUUUAUCGUAAUUUAUUUUUUUAAGAUUAACAAUGAUUUUUCAUUUUGAAUUUCAUUUUAGUUUUUCUUUCUUUUACUUUACUUAAAUUAUAAUAGCAAAAGAAAGAAAAUUCUUUUGAAAUUAAAAUGAAACAAAAACAAUUUAACAAUCUAGUCAACAAGUGAUAAAGAUUUAAAUAUUUAAUGCGAGAAUCAAAACAUAUAGAUAAUCUAGUCUAAAAAAAAAAGAAAAAUAUAGUCAUGAUCUAGUCAAAAUCGAGUAAUAUUUAUCUAAUCAUAAAAUAUAUAUUAUAUUCUAGUCAUUAUUUAAUAUUCCAAUUGGUGCCACGAAUCAAUUUCGCGACAAUUUUUUUAAAAUUUUCUUGUGGAUUAUUACUAAAAAUUAAGCUGAAGAUAAAUUACAAAAAAUAUAUAUUUAAUUUAAUUUCACGUAGCAUCAACGAGGCUGUGUACAUACUUUCUCGUGUCUUUUUUUGAUUCUAAUCACACCAUAGUCAUUGCAUUCUAGUCAUUGCGUUUUUUUCAAAUAAUACAUAGAUAUUAUAAGUUUCAUUUCAUAUUCCUCAAAGGAUAUGCAGGCCACAUAUGAAUGCAAUUUGGAACUUUUUUCAAAUAGUAUCUAGUCAUAUAAACAUUUGUUCAUAUAUUUAUAUAUAUUUUCUCAAACAAAUAUGUGUGGAUGCGAUGCCAUAAAAAAGUUAAAUUGCAAAAAUAUAAUAUACUCGAUUUU